CCUACGGGUGGCAGCAGUGGGGAAUAUUGCACAAUGGGGGAAACCCUGAUGCAGCGACGCCGCGUGAGUGAAGAAGUAUUUCGGUAUGUAAAGCUCUAUCAGCAGGGAAGAAAAUGACGGUACCUGAUUAAUAAGCCCCGGCUAACUACGUGCCAGCAGCCGCGGUAAUACGUAGGGGGCACGCGUUAUGCGGAUUUACUGGGUGUAAAGGGAGCGUAGACGGCAGGUCAAGGCUGGAGUGAAAUGCCUGGGCUUAACCUCGGAACUGCUUUGGAUACUGGGCAGCUUGAGUGCAGUAGAGGGAAGUAGAAUUCCAGGUGUAGCGGUGAAAUGCGUAGAUAUCAGGAGGAAUACCAGUGGCGAAGGCGGCUCACUGGAC
Molecule: ribosomal RNA, 379 nt
Filed under: uncultured bacterium
Lineage: Bacteria
Description: partial 16S ribosomal RNA
Rfam family: Bacterial small subunit ribosomal RNA
Source: RNAcentral